Molecule: small RNA, 125 nt
Filed under: Marmota monax (woodchuck)
Lineage: Eukaryota; Metazoa; Chordata; Mammalia; Rodentia; Sciuridae
Source: RNAcentral
GCCAGGCGCAGUGGUACAUGCCUGUAAUCCCAGCAACUGGGGAGGCUGAGGCAGGAGGAUCUCAUGUUCAAAGUCAGCCUCAGCAAAAGUGAGGUGCUAAGCACUUCAGUGAGACCCUGUCUCUA